RNAcentral lists this small RNA (857 nucleotides) under Malus domestica (apple). Its description in RNAcentral is "sRNA MD02G0066400". Lineage: Eukaryota; Viridiplantae; Streptophyta; Magnoliopsida; Rosales; Rosaceae. The record is from RNAcentral.
GGUGGGAAGGGGUUUUGGGUUGCAGAGAAGAGAGAGGUGAGAAAGGGGGGAGAGAGAGAGGAGAGAGUGAGAAAGAUUUAAUAUAUAUAUAUAUAUAUUUUUAAUUUUUGAAUAUUUUAUUAUUCAAAAAAUAUAUUUUUUAUUUUUUAAUCCAAUUGGAUUAGUGAGUGGGACACGUGUCGAACCACAUCAGUAUUUAACAGAGAAAUUAACAGAAAAACUGACAGAGGUCUAACAUUGACACAAAUUCGUAAGAUGAGGAGAAGUUGGCUACUUGGGUUAAACCCUUUCAUGUCAUGAUUUUGUUGGUUGAGUUGGGACCAGACCUUUGUCACAAAUAUGGUCUGGUUGCAAUUGGAUCGCAACCAACUAAUAACCAAAACUAACCACCAGCAGGGGGAGCUGGCAGAGGUAAUGGGUUCAGCUAGCUAGCCCAUGUCUUCCUAUUCACCAAACUCACACCACUUAUCUCCUUUUGUGACAUGCAUGUUGCGUACGUAAACAACUCUGGAAUUCAGGCUCCAGGCCCUACCCCAGAGGUUGGAUUAGGACCUACAUCAGGGUGACAUAUCAAGAUAGACGGAAGGUGUUACCUGCUAGUUUGUUGCUCAAUUAACAACUUGGGACAUGCUUAAUAUUGAUAUAAAGAUAUACUUGAUUAGUAGCACUUUAGAAAAACUAACUGAAAUGCUAGAAAUAGAGAAGAGUGUUUUGUAACAUCCAAUAGUGUUGUUCAUUGCCACCAAAGAGCGUCAAUCGCUUAUUACAUGCGCGCGUGAACGACUGUAAACCGUUGAUUGAUGUGAAUCUCAUGAUAAGUCUCAUUCCAAACAAUGUCUAAGAAUCGUCUAAGUGCG